CCAAGAAACAUAAAAUAUAAAAAGAACUGAAUAAAAAUUUUAGAAAUAAACAUAAAAUAACUGAAAUAAAAACUCAAUGUACGUGCUCGACAAUAGAAGAGAAAGAACAGAAGAAAGAAUCAGUGAAGUUAAAGAUUGAACAAUAGAAAUAACCCAGACUGAACAGCAGAAAGAAACAGAAAAUAAACAGAUCCUCAGAGACCCAUGGGACGGUAACAAAAGAUCUAAAGUACCUGCCAUCAAAGUCUCAGAAGAAGAAAAAAAAAAAAAAGUAAGUGGUGCUGGACAAGUUUUUAAAUAAACAAUAGCUAAAAGCCCCAAAUUUGGGAAGCAAACAAAAUACCCAUAAGACUACAGAUAAAAGAAGCAGAGGAACCCAAAACAGGAUAAACCAAAGAUAUCCAUGCUAAGACCAUCUCAAAACUAAAGACAAGAAAACAGAGCCUUGAAGGGAGCGUGAGAAAAACUAUACCUUACUAUGAGGAACUAUUAACGAAACAGUGGAUUUCUAAUCAGAAAUCAAAGAGGUUUCAUAUUGUUUUUCAGGUAAUUAAACAAACAAACAAAAUUGCUAUCCUAGAAUCCUAUCUCCUCCCAAAGUAUAAUUUAAUAAUGAUAAUUAAGGCAUUAUCAGACAAUGAAAAACUAAAAAUGGUUUGUCACAAGCAGAACUACCCUGAGAGUGGCUUAAGAAAACUCCCAAAACAAAGAAAAUGAUGAAAGAAGGAAACAGAAUAUUAGAAAUGAAGAAAGAACAAUAGAAAGAGUAAAAAAAAAAAAAAAAAGAGUAAACAUAAUGGACUUUUAUAUCUUGAGUUUUCUCAAUUAUCUUUGAGAAUUAAAGAAGAAAUUAUAAUAUUAUUCUGAUGUGCUUCUCAAGGUAUAGAAGUACUGAACAUUACUGAACGUUUAUAUUAUAAAUGGGUGAAAAGAUUUUAAAUGAAGGUCUGCACCACAUGCUCAUACCUAAGUCAAUCAAUGUCAAGGGGAAUGGAUCUUUUAUGAGUGGCUCACAUUUUUUUGUUCACAAUCAAAUCAAUGCCAAAAUGUUCUCUGCAUAGAAUUUCAUCUAUUUUGUUUACUGAUGUAUACCAAGCAUAUGAGCAUUGCCUAGCACAUAAUACUUUUUAAAAAAAAUUAGAGAUACCUUCUCGAACAAAUUCUGGCCUGCUGCUGGGACUACAAAGAGAGAGAGAACACUGGUACCAACCUAGGAGAAAAUGAGAUUUCACUGGAAUAGUUCUAAGGAUAUCUGCCUACCCUGGGAAGUUAAGCCCCUUGUGUGAGAAGGUUAGCUCAGGAGAAGAAGUGUGCUAUGCAUCUGCAAGAAGGUACAAUGCUUCCCUAGGGGCAAAAAUCAACCCAGUUAGGAUUGACAGCCACUAUCAAUUCCUUCUCUGUUGAGCUUUUCACAUGUCUUAAAUAAAGGAGUAUAUUUAUCAGAUGUUGAAUGAAUUCCUUUACCAAAACAUAUUCUCUCAUAAAAGAGAAAGUCAAUGAUGAGUAUUUUAUAUUCUACAUUAAGCCCAGCACUUGAUUUAACCUAGGGCUAUAUGUACAUAUAAAUUUUCAUAGACACAGUUAAUAUGUUUCCAUUUUUAUGGGCCUCUCAAACUUUUCAGAGAGAGGUGAAGGGCUGUUUAAUCCCUUCUCUUUGAUUUAUGAAUAGAAUAUAUGCUUACAGAGCUUGACUUGCUGGACUGUUGGCUUUUUAAAAAAAAAUCAGAUAUGAAUUUGGGAAGACAUUUUCAGAUUUUCAAUAAAUAUUACAUGUUGCUGUUUAACACGGGAGGGAUUUUCCCUCUCUCAAUGAAUUUAAAAGUCCUGAAAGCUUUCUGUGGAGCAUUCUUUAGAUGCAAGAUUACAAGAUGCAGCCAGAAGCAAUGGAAACUUCUCUAAGAGGCCCAGCUGAGGACCCUGCUGAGCUAAAAUGUCUCCACACGUUUUCCUGCUCAUAUUUAGAAGAACUGUAAAUCGCUGGAAACAGCUACUUCAUUUCUGUUCUUGGGCCAGGGCUUGAAUCCUGCAGACAUUCCAGGGGAUAUGGGUUUGAGAGGCGCAGCACAUCCUGGGGGGAACUCCCUCCACAAACCCCAGCUGAGGGGGCCGCCCUUGGAAAGGACAGGUUUCCCCCGCCAGGAAGACUGCAUUAUCUCUUCUCCCCAGGGAGAAAAAUCUCUUUUGAUCAAGUUUCCAGUUGCUUCAAGGUCAGAAAGGAGCACCUUGCACUAGUCUUGCUGGCUUUUUCCCAGCCUCCGAGUGGAGCCCACCUGCCUCCCUGCCAGCACGUGUUUAAACCCCAGCAGCAGCAUCAACAAGAGAGGGCUCAGGAGAGAAAUGAGACCUAAAGAAGUCCGGGUAGGAACUGGUGCCCAGAUGUUUCGGUCAGAGGAGCAAGCCCACAGUCCAGCUUGUGUUGCAGAACUGCACCGACUCGCGGCACCCCGAUUCUGGGUGCUCUCUCGGAUUUAGGGUUCAUUAGCACCCCACCCCUCCUCCCCCUUUAGACGUGCAUCUGCAGGACCAGAGGUGAAGGAAGAAGGUUUCUGGUCUGAUCAGGGUACUUUUCUUCCAGAAAAACUCCACCCAGGUAUUAAAGCAAAUUUUAAACUGACCCUUGUAUUCAAUUAUCUUUAAAAGGAAAGAAAAUGGGAUCCCUGGGUGGCUCAGCAGU
Long non-coding RNA from Canis lupus familiaris (dog), 2674 nucleotides. RefSeq lists it as uncharacterized. Lineage: Eukaryota; Metazoa; Chordata; Mammalia; Carnivora; Canidae. The transcript is spliced from 6 exons. The record is from RefSeq and is a predicted model, not a curated record.